GGGCCCGUGGCCUAGCUAGGAUAGGGCGGCAAGUGGAAAAGCUGUAGAUCGUGGGUUCGAAUCCCACCGGGCCCGCCA
This 78-nucleotide transfer RNA is filed under the name Hadesarchaea archaeon. RNAcentral describes it as "tRNA-Phe". It matches the Rfam family "tRNA". Rfam says of the family: Transfer RNA (tRNA) molecules are approximately 80 nucleotides in length. Their secondary structure includes four short double-helical elements and three loops (D, anti-codon, and T loops). The record is from RNAcentral. Lineage: Archaea; Methanobacteriati; Hadarchaeota (SeqCode); Hadarchaeia (SeqCode).